GGAGAGGUACCGAAGUGGUCAUAACGGGGCGGUCUUGAAAACCGUUAGACGUUCGCGCGUCACAAGGGUUCGAAUCCCUUCCUCUCCGCCA
The sequence is a transfer RNA, 91 nucleotides long. It matches the Rfam family "tRNA". Rfam says of the family: Transfer RNA (tRNA) molecules are approximately 80 nucleotides in length. Their secondary structure includes four short double-helical elements and three loops (D, anti-codon, and T loops). Further hydrogen bonds mediate the characteristic L-shaped molecular structure. tRNAs have two regions of fundamental functional importance: the anti-codon, which is responsible for specific mRNA codon recognition, and the 3' end, to which the tRNAs corresponding amino acid is attached (by aminoacyl-tRNA synthetases). tRNAs cope with the degeneracy of the genetic code in two manners: having more than one tRNA (with a specific anti-codon) for a particular amino acid; and 'wobble' base-pairing, i.e. permitting non-standard base-pairing at the 3rd anti-codon position.